RNAcentral lists this ribosomal RNA (253 nucleotides) under uncultured bacterium. RNAcentral's name for it is "partial 16S ribosomal RNA". It matches the Rfam family "Bacterial small subunit ribosomal RNA", at positions 524 to 776 of the family's 1533-position model. The record is from RNAcentral.
UACGUAGGUGGCAAGCGUUAGCCGGAAUUAUUGGGCGUAAAGCGCGCGCAGGCGGUUUCUUAAGUCUGAUGUGAAAGCCCACGGCUCAACCGUGGAGGGUCAUUGGAAACUGGGGAACUUGAGUGCAGAAGAGAAAAGCGGAAUUCCACGUGUAGCGGUGAGAUGCGUAGAGAUGUGGAGGAACACCAGUGGCGAAGGCGGCUUUUUGGUCUGUAACUGACGCUGAGGCGCGAAAGCGUGGGGAGCAAACAGG